GGAUUCUGGCUCAGUGGUAGAGUGCUCGCCUAUCAGGUGUAAGACCCUGGGUUCAAUUCUCAGCACCA
This 68-nucleotide transfer RNA is filed under the name Marmota monax (woodchuck). Its description in RNAcentral is "tRNA.Asp". Lineage: Eukaryota; Metazoa; Chordata; Mammalia; Rodentia; Sciuridae. The record is from RNAcentral.